AGUCGAGCGGACUAAUGGGAGCUUGCUCCCGUUAGUUAGCGGCGGACGGGUGAGUAACACGUGGGCAACCUACCUGUAAGACUGGGAUAACUUCGGGAAACCGGAGCUAAUACCGGAUGACAUAAAGGAACUCCUGUUCCUUUAUUGAAAGAUGGCUUCGGCUAUCACUUACAGAUGGGCCCGCGGCGCAUUAGCUAGUUGGUGAGGUAACGGCUCACCAAGGCGACGAUGCGUAGCCGACCUGAGAGGGUGAUCGGCCACACUGGGACUGAGACACGGCCCAGACUCCUACGGGAGGCAGCAGU
RNAcentral lists this ribosomal RNA (305 nucleotides) under Bacillus sp. B18E. Its description in RNAcentral is "bacterial SSU rRNA". It matches the Rfam family "Bacterial small subunit ribosomal RNA", at positions 60 to 355 of the family's 1533-position model. RNAcentral also lists the same sequence under 1 other name. Lineage: Bacteria; Bacillati; Bacillota; Bacilli; Caryophanales; Bacillaceae. The record is from RNAcentral.